Molecule: ribosomal RNA, 609 nt
Filed under: Salmonella enterica
Lineage: Bacteria; Pseudomonadati; Pseudomonadota; Gammaproteobacteria; Enterobacterales; Enterobacteriaceae
Description: partial 23S ribosomal RNA
Source: RNAcentral
CUGCACGAAUGGCGUAAUGAUGGCCAGGCUGUCUCCACCCGAGACUCAGUGAAAUUGAACUCGCUGUGAAGAUGCAGUGUACCCGCGGCAAGACGGAAAGACCCCGUGAACCUUUACUAUAGCUUGACACUGAACAUUGAGCCUUGAUGUGUAGGAUAGGUGGGAGGCUUUGAAGUGUGGACGCCAGUCUGCAUGGAGCCGACCUUGAAAUACCACCCUUUAAUGUUUGAUGUUCUAACGUGGACCCGURAUCCGGGUUGCGGACAGUGUCUGGUGGGUAGUUUGACUGGGGCGGUCUCCUCCUAAAGAGUAACGGAGGAGCACGAAGGUUGGCUAAUCCUGGUCGGACAUCAGGAGGUUAGUGCAAUGGCAUAAGCCAGCUUGACUGCGAGCGUGACGGCGCGAGCAGGUUGGCACUGCCCGGUAGCUAAAUGCGGAAGAGAUAAGUGCUGAAAGCAUCUAAGCACGAAACUUGCCCCGAGAUGAGUUCUCCCUGAGACUUAGAGUCUCCUGAAGGAACGUUGAAGACGACGACGUUGAUAGGCCGGGUGUGUAAGCGCAGCGAUGCGUUGAGCUAACCGGUACUAAUGAACCGUGAGGCUUAACCUU